RNAcentral lists this ribosomal RNA (852 nucleotides) under uncultured bacterium. Its description in RNAcentral is "bacterial SSU rRNA". It matches the Rfam family "Bacterial small subunit ribosomal RNA", at positions 28 to 896 of the family's 1533-position model. The record is from RNAcentral.
GACGAACGCUGGCGGCGUGCUUAACACAUGCAAGUCGAACGGCGAAGCCCUUCGGGGUGGAUCAGUGGCGAACGGGUGAGUAACACGUGAGCAACCUGCCUCUGACUCUGGGAUAACGUCCGGAAACGGGCGCUAAUACUGGAUAUGACCUCGUGCCGCAUGGUGGGGGGUGGAAAGUUUUUCGGUCAGGGAUGGGCUCGCGGCCUAUCAGCUUGUUGGUGGGGUGAUGGCCUACCAAGGCGACGACGGGUAGCCGGCCUGAGAGGGCGACCGGCCACACUGGGACUGAGACACGGCCCAGACUCCUACGGGAGGCAGCAGUGGGGAAUAUUGCGCAAUGGGCGAAAGCCUGACGCAGCGACGCCGCGUGGGGGAUGAAGGCCUUCGGGUUGUAAACCUCUUUCAGCGCCGAAGAAGCGAGAGUGACGGUAGGCGCAGAAGAAGCACCGGCUAACUACGUGCCAGCAGCCGCGGUAAUACGUAGGGUGCAAGCGUUGUCCGGAAUUAUUGGGCGUAAAGAGCUCGUAGGCGGUUUGUCACGUCUGCUGUGAAAACUCGGGGCUUAACUCCGGGCCUGCAGUGGGUACGGGCAGACUAGAGUGUGGUAGGGGAGACUGGAAUUCCUGGUGUAGCGGUGAAAUGCGCAGAUAUCAGGAGGAACACCGGUGGCGAAGGCGGGUCUCUGGGCCAUAACUGACGCUGAGGAGCGAAAGCGUGGGGAGCGAACAGGAUUAGAUACCCUGGUAGUCCACGCCGUAAACGUUGGGCGCUAGGUGUGGGGCUCUUUCCACGAGUUCCGUGCCGCAGCAAACGCAUUAAGCGCCCCGCCUGGGGAGUACGGCCGCAAGGCUA